This 235-nucleotide ribosomal RNA is filed under the name uncultured bacterium. Its description in RNAcentral is "partial 16S ribosomal RNA". It matches the Rfam family "Bacterial small subunit ribosomal RNA", at positions 1258 to 1500 of the family's 1533-position model. The record is from RNAcentral.
CAACAUCGGUCCAAUCCUUAAAGUCAUCCUCAGUUCGGACUGGGGUCUGCAACCCGACCCCACGAAGCUGGAUUCGCUAGUAAUCGCGCAUCAGCCAUGGCGCGGUGAAUACGUUCCCGGGCCUUGUACACACCGCCCGUCAAGCCAUGAAAGCCGGGGGGCGCCUGAAGUCCGUGACCGCGAGGGUCGGCCUAGGGUGAAACCGGUGAUUGGGGCUAAGUCGUAACAAGGUAUC